This is a long non-coding RNA of Ctenopharyngodon idella (grass carp), 2619 nucleotides long. RefSeq lists it as uncharacterized. The transcript has 3 exons. The record is from RefSeq and is a predicted model, not a curated record. NCBI's taxonomy places the organism in Eukaryota, Metazoa, Chordata, Actinopteri, Cypriniformes, Xenocyprididae.
AUGACACCGUUGAUCUCUGUGAGGAAACGCUGCAGAUCUCCAUGUUAGUGAAUGAGCUUCCGGCCUCACUGCUGCAUUCUGGGUAUGAAGAACUAGAGGAUAUGAUGUUCUUCAGCCUGUGGAGAGCAAUGAUCAACAGGGCAACCUGCAUAUCAGUGGGCUCAUAAGCUGGUGCAGCUUGUUGUUAGGCCACCGCCGGUCCAUUAGGACUUUGGGGUGGUCACACCGGCUCAGUGGUGCACACAGAAGAGAGUCUGGCGCAGGCUGGCAUAUGGAUGGAGCUUUGGAUGCAAGCAGUGGGGCAAAGCUAUGCAUGUCAAUAGGACAGAGGCGUCAUGCCUCCUGGGAAGGUCUUAUCUCUUCUGCUCUGUGCACUAAAGACACGGAACACAGAUUAUGGAUCGGCGCAAAGCAAAGCAUGACUGUCUGGCGCAGCUCGCUUUUGCUAUUGUUUUGUGAAGCAUGAAUGGGAAUUCUGUUUCGGUAGUGACGAAUGCUUGUCUUCUCAAUACUCAGUGAUCAUCACUGAUUCAUCUUGAACCAGUAGAAAACGCUCUAUUGCUCUUAAAGGGACAGUUCACCCAAAAAAAAAAUUAAAAUUCUGUCAUCAUUUACUCACCCUCAUGUUAUUCCAAACCUGUCGUUCAACUGUUUUUGUCAAGUCAAUAUUUAUUUGUAUAGCGCUAUAUACAAAACAGAUUGUUUCAAAGCCGGUAAACAGGAAAAUAACGAUCAGUGAUUGUUCACCAAAUAUAAGACUAUUUCAAUUCUGCUUUAAAGGUUUAGUGUGUAAAUUUUAGCAGCAUCUAGUGGUGAGGUUGCGAAUUGCAAGCAACAGCUCAGUCCACCGCUCACCCCUUUCUUUCGAAGAGAAGCUACGGUGGCCGACACAGGACAAAGAUGUUGUCAUCUGAGACAGCAGAGAGUAGUCAGUCAAGCAAGCACACUAUGUAGAGCAGUUUGUCCGUUUAGGGCUACUGUAGAAACAUGGCGGGACAAAAUGGCGACUUCCAUGUAAGGGAACCCGUGGUGUAUGUAGAUAGAAAUGGCUCAUUCUAAGGUAAUAAAAACAUAACGGUUAAUUAUGUAAGGUCUUUAUACAUCACUGAAAACAUAGUUAUGUAUAUGAUAUUGCAUUUCUGUCAAUAGAUCCUCCUAAAUAUUUCACACUGGACCUUUAAAGAAGCUCAAAAUAGACAAUAGUGUCAUUAUUCAGCUCAAGUCAGUUCAGUGUUGAUUCAGUUCAGUUCAAUAACUGUAAAAUUAAUCAAUUAGAAAUGAGUUCAAUUCAGCUAUUAGCAGCUUUACAGAAGACAACAGUGACAAUAGUUAUUCGUUUUGAGUCAAUGUUGACUCAGUUUAAUUCAAUAACAGUGUUGAUGUUGCGAAAUUCAUCAAUUAAGAAACAAAGUCGAAUCGGCUAUAAAGCAGCUCUGCAGAAAACAGUGGUGUCAUCAUCCAGCUCACUUCAGUUCAAGUUUUUUCUCAUCCAAUCAUUUUUGUCCAUGCAAAAAAGGUCAGUGGGGUUGAAUCCUUUGAACCUCUUUGACUUUCACAGUGUACUCUAAAAAAAAAAAAAAAAAAAAAAAAUUGAAAUGAAAUUUAUUUUAAAAAAAUGGCUGCAUUUUAAGUUUAACGGAUUGAACUUAAAUUUACAUGGAUUUGAAUUUAAAUUAACUGAUAUAAUGUUAACAAUCUCUUUUGUACCUUUAUAAUACACUGACAACCACCAUAAACACAGGUGGUAAUGAGAAAGCCACAUGUAAUCAAAGCUCAUCACAAGUAGCUUAACAUAAAACCCUAAUGUACACAACUGACAAGAAAAAAACUAAGAAAAACAGUUAUUUCAAUGAAAAAUCAAGCAUCACAGAGAAUUCUGGGAAUGUCAGUUUACAAUUUUUCACUGUAGAUAUUUAAGAAUAUAUAAUGUUUAAGAAUAAUAUAUAUAUGUAUAAGAAGACCUGUUUUAAAUGUCCCAUUUGAUUUAUGUUAAAGUUUUUCAUAUAGUAUAUAGUAAGGGAAUUUACAAGUUUUUACUGUAGCAUUUUUACAGUCUUUUCCAUUUUUUAAAAACAUCUUUUACAUUCAACAGAAGAAAGAAGGUUUUGAACGACAUGAGGGUGAGUAAAUGAUGACAGAAUGUUAAUUUUUGGCUUUUUAACAUUCAUCUGAGUAUUCGCUUGCCUCAUAAAAUGUGCAAGGACGGGAGUUAGAGGGCAAUAUCUUCCUCUAGACAUAUAUUGGCGGCGUUCCACUACAGCUCAGAUGCCCACUGGGGAUCAUGGGUACCCUUCCUGAGUCCUGCUGUGUCUAUCCUGUCCUUUGGGUCUUUAUAAUUGCUCCAGCUAAUGCCGGCACUGAGGCACAUGAGUGAAUGCUGUUGGAUUUUGAUAAGAACAGUGCCUUGGCUGAUUUUUCCUCUAAUCCAUAAAACUGUAAAAAUCGGAGAAGGUUUGUUAUUCCCCUGAUGCAAGUGAUUCAGCCCAGCUUUGGUGCAUCUGUUCCCAUUGCACGCAAGUAUAGGUUGAAUGUUAACGCACGGCAUUCGACGGCAAGGCCGCCUGAAGCUUUUUUUGAUUAUAGACUGUGUGCUAACUUCAGGAGGAAAUGGUCGCUUUG